This 254-nucleotide ribosomal RNA is filed under the name uncultured bacterium. Its description in RNAcentral is "partial 16S ribosomal RNA". It matches the Rfam family "Bacterial small subunit ribosomal RNA", at positions 524 to 776 of the family's 1533-position model. The record is from RNAcentral.
UACGGGGGGAGCAAGCGUUGUUCGGAUUUACUGGGCGUAAAGGGCGCGUAGGCGGUCAGCACAAGUCAGUUGUGAAAUCUCCGGGCUUAACUCGGAAAGGUCAACUGAUACUGUGCGACUAGAGUGCAGAAGGGGCAACUGGAAUUCUCGGUGUAGCGGUGAAAUGCGUAGAUAUCGAGAGGAACACCUGCGGCGAAGGCGGCAUCCUGGACCGGUAUUGACGCUGAGGCGCGAAAGCCAGGGGAGCAAACGGG